AGCGAACGCUGGCGGCAGGCCUAACACAUGCAAGUCGAGCGCCGUAGCAAUACGGAGCGGCAGACGGGAGAGUAACACGUGGGAACGUACCCUUCAGUACGGAACAACCAAGGGGAAACUUUGGUCUAAUACCGUAUACGUCCGUAAGGAGAAAGAUUUAUCGCUGAAGGAUCGGCCCGCGUCUGAUUAGCUUGUUGGUGAGGUAACGGCUCACCAAGGCGACGAUCAGUAGCUGGUCUGAGAGGAUGAUCAGCCUCACUGGGACUGAGACACGGCCCAGACUCCUACGGGAGGCAG
This 297-nucleotide ribosomal RNA is filed under the name uncultured Pseudomonadota bacterium. Its description in RNAcentral is "uncultured proteobacterium partial 16S ribosomal RNA". It matches the Rfam family "Bacterial small subunit ribosomal RNA", at positions 29 to 351 of the family's 1533-position model. The record is from RNAcentral. Lineage: Bacteria; Pseudomonadati; Pseudomonadota.